Dunckerocampus dactyliophorus (ringed pipefish) is the source of this 631-nucleotide long non-coding RNA. RefSeq lists it as uncharacterized. The transcript has 3 exons. The record is from RefSeq and is a predicted model, not a curated record. NCBI's taxonomy places the organism in Eukaryota, Metazoa, Chordata, Actinopteri, Syngnathiformes, Syngnathidae.
UCGACGAGACCGAAUAAAAGGCUCCCCUCGAUUCACUCGCCCAAAACUUCAGCUUCAACCCCCCCUCCAGUCAACUUACUCGGUCGCUUUGUCGUCCGCUCGUCGCCGAUGGUCGACCAAGGAAUGUUUAAUGUGCGGUUAACCUGGAUUAAUCGUUGCUUUUUUUGAAAUCCAGGGGAUAUCCUCCUUUUUUCGGCCCUCCCCGCUGCCGCGUCUGUUGCCAAAUAAUGCGCCUCAACACACAUGGAGCCGCUGCGUCCUCUUAGUGGGCAUGCGCACCUCGGCAUACCAGGGCGACCGGAUCACAUCAUGUAAGCCGUUGACCACCAAGGGCCAAGGCCAUGUCUGCAGAGCAUCCCAGCAUACUGCACAAGAAGUCACCAUAAACACUGAAGUGUGAAGCGGGGGACCGCCACUCUCUAACAGGAGGCCUAAUGGCGGCCAGCAGCAACUACAUGACAGCGUCAACUUAAUCCUCAUUAAGCAGUAACAAUGCAGGAAGUGGCUGCUGCAGUCACGAUCAGGCCGGGCUCACUAUUUGGCAGGAAACGACUCCUCUCAGCUGCGUCCAAGAAAAAACCUCCAAGCAGUCCCAGAAGUUGAAACUCACGACGAAGACGAGACUCCACCU